Molecule: long non-coding RNA, 1019 nt
Organism: Echinops telfairi (small Madagascar hedgehog)
Lineage: Eukaryota; Metazoa; Chordata; Mammalia; Afrosoricida; Tenrecidae
Exons: 2
Source: RefSeq, a predicted model, not a curated record
CAAUCCCAGCGCUGGGGGCCCGGGCUGCGGGAACGCCCUCCCGGAACGAAGCGCUUCCCGGUGCCUUCAAGGUUGAGGGGUCUUGACAGGCCCACUCAAGAGUCUAGACUGAAUUCAGGAAGUCCGGUUCCAGAUGCUCACCGCCCCCUCCCCACGCGUCUUCGGAGUCUCGAGUUUCCAGUUCAGGAGUCCGGUGUUUCCACGGAGGACCAUCCCCUCGAAAGACGACCCCCGUUUGCCAAGCCUCACCCCAUCUGCUGGAAGACCCUACAUCGCCUCUCCACUGCACCCGGAGUUCCCUCUCUGGCUCCCGGUCUCAGUUUGACUACCCCGCGCAGAGACACACGCCUUCUCUUCCUUCCCCCGCACCCCGAACCCCCAUCCUCUGGGUCUGAGAUUCCCCCCGGCACUUUCACUCAAGGCCUCUGGGUGCCAUCUUCCCCACCCAGAAAACGCCUUCUCUCUAGCCUGGGAGCCCGGGGAAAGUUCACUGGGUGACCUCCGGAGCCAGGGGCCACUCUCCUCGCUGUCUCCAAGCCCUAAGCCCCCUUACAGCCUUGGCUGACGCCAGCCAGAAAGAGUCAAAGUCAGCCAGCCUGGAGGCUAUGGUAGCCAAUGCCCCCCUCCCCCACCCCCUUCCCAUCCCCAUCCCGAUCUUUAUCUCGCCUAGCGGUCUCAGCGCCGCUAGCCCCUCCCUCCUGACCCACAUCUUUCCCCACCUCCCUCCUUAAAUGCACCUGGAGUAACCCAACGACAGCCCGGGAUGACAAGCGCCUGGCUGCUCACCUUGACAAGUGUCCUCUAUUCACUACCAUUUAUUCAUUCAUGAGAGCAGGAACGUAUAACCCGGACCCCUAGAACGGUACCCAUCCCCCUGCCUCUUAGAACAAACACCCCCCCACUACGGAGCCUCUAAGAACCUGAGAGACACACGUUAAUGGUUUCCUUGGGGACCUUCUGGGAACACUCAGCAGGUAGAUCCUGCCACCCUGUGCGAAUAACACUAGCAACAAACUUGC